GACGAACGCUGGCGGCGCGCCUAACACAUGCAAGUCGAGCGAGAACCAUUCCUUCGGGAAUGGGGACAGCGGCGAACGGGUGAGUAACACGUGGGUAAUCUGCCCUCGGUUCUGGGAUAGCCCGGGGAAACCCGAAUUAAUACCGGAUAGCCUCUUGAGCCUUCGGGUUCUCGAGAAAAGGUAGCUUCGGCCUCCGACUGAGGAUGAGCCCGCGGCGGAUUAGCUUGUUGGCGGGGUAACGG
Molecule: ribosomal RNA, 242 nt
Filed under: uncultured bacterium
Lineage: Bacteria
Description: partial 16S ribosomal RNA
Rfam family: Bacterial small subunit ribosomal RNA
Source: RNAcentral